RNAcentral lists this ribosomal RNA (166 nucleotides) under uncultured bacterium. Its description in RNAcentral is "partial 16S rRNA". It matches the Rfam family "Bacterial small subunit ribosomal RNA", at positions 355 to 511 of the family's 1533-position model. The record is from RNAcentral.
UGGGGAAUAUUGGACAAUGGGCGCAAGCCUGAUCCAGCCAUGCCGCGUGUGUGAAGAAGGCCUUAUGGUUGUAAAGCACUUUAAGCGAGGAGGAGGCUACUUUAGAUAAUACCUAGAGAUAGUGGACGUUACUCGCAGAAUAAGCACCGGCUAACUCUGUCGCCAG